This 415-nucleotide ribosomal RNA is filed under the name uncultured bacterium. RNAcentral describes it as "bacterial SSU rRNA". It matches the Rfam family "Bacterial small subunit ribosomal RNA", at positions 355 to 787 of the family's 1533-position model. The record is from RNAcentral.
UGGGGAAUAUUGCACAAUGGGGGAAACCCUGAUGCAGCGACGCCGCGUGAAGGAAGAAGUAUCUCGGUAUGUAAACUUCUAUCAGCAGGGAAGAAAAUGACGGUACCUGACUAAGAAGCCCCGGCUAACUACGUGCCAGCAGCCGCGGUAAUACGUAGGGGGCAAGCGUUAUCCGGAUUUACUGGGUGUAAAGGGAGCGUAGACGGAGCAGCAAGUCUGAUGUGAAAGGCAGGGGCUCAACCCCUGGACUGCAUUGGAAACUGUUGGUCUUGAGUACCGGAGGGGUAAGCGGAAUUCCUAGUGUAGCGGUGAAAUGCAUAGAUAUUGCGCAGAACUCCGAUUGCGAAGGCAGCGUACCGGUGCCGGACUGACGCUGAGGCACGAAAGCGUGGGGAUCAAACAGGAUUAGAUACCC